GGAAAAGAGGAGGCCAAAGAACUUAAAGUCAAUUUUAAAAUCACGAAGAAUUAUGAAAAGAAUAAUAUUGGAAUAAAAGUGAACCACCAGAUAAAAUCUUCAAGGAAAGAUGAGUGUCUCUAGAUGUGAGAAUGAGUGUAUAUAACAAGGAGCAGAAGGGAGUGGCAUAGUCCAAUUACAUGUCAGUCAAAACAGAGGUUUCAGGAAGGAAAGAGGGAGAAAGACUUAGAACCACCAAUGCAAGGAGCACACCUAUACCUUGUCCAGGUCCAGUGUGGCAAAAUGCUUUAAAAGUAUCUUCUUUCAUUGCAAAGUUAAGUUUGUGGAUUGCCUAAUUACUUAUUUAUGGUGUCACCUGUCAAAUAAAGGGUUUUAGGCUUAAAUUUGACGAUUAAUCCUUCCUUACCCUAAGGUCAUAAAUAUAUUCUCUUGUUUUAAAAGUGUUAUAGGUUUGAUUUUUACAUUUAAGGUUUGGUUUUAGUUUUUUUUGUUUGUUUGUUUUAUUUUUUGAGACAGUGUCUUGCUCUGUCACCCAGGCUGGAAUGCAGUGGUACAAUCACGGCUCACUGCAAGCUCCACCUCCUGGAUUCAAGCGAUUCUCCUGCCUCAGCCUCCUGAGUAGCUGGAAUUACAGGGUUCUGUUCUAUGUCAUUUCCUUUGAAGUCAGUGGGAGCUCUGUGCAGGACGGCAACACGAACACCAGCCUCUAUACAUGAAGGUGAGAACUGCCAUUACGAUAAACUAUUCAGCAGUGUGGUGGAGGGAGCAUUGGUUUAACACACUUGGUGGCUACCCUGCAGAUCCCACUGUCUGUGAGAGCUUUGUUCAACUGGAGCAAACAAGAACUUUUUGAAUUUUGACAUACAAGGGCUCAUUCAGCAGAGCAUCCCCUGUUAUGAGAGGAGGCACAGUGCUGGGCAGACAUUGCAGUUUUUAGCCAGCACGCUGAGGACAUUUCUCUCAUUCUCUCCAUCUGUAGAGAGUCUGUUUUUAAGACCCCCAAAAUGGUUUUCUAUAUAUUAGAGAGACAUAUAAAUAUUUUUACAUGUUUGUACCCGAUUACACAAAAAGGAAGGCAAAGUGCAAUUGUAUAAAAGUAGGUAGGUCUUUUCAAAAUGGAAAGAAAGAAUUCUUUGAAAAUUUUAGUUGAAGGGGUUAUUUGAUGAAAAGCAGAGCUCAUAAUAGAAACAAGGAAAAAAACUUUGACAUGGAGAAGGUAUUGAAAAUGAGGAAUCAUCUAUAUUUGCUUUCUGUAUCAGGAGCAUUAUUUUGUUCACUGAUCAAGAGUCU
RNAcentral lists this long non-coding RNA (1290 nucleotides) under Callithrix jacchus (white-tufted-ear marmoset). Its description in RNAcentral is "lncRNA (ENSCJAG00000076827.1)". Lineage: Eukaryota; Metazoa; Chordata; Mammalia; Primates; Cebidae. The record is from RNAcentral.